RNAcentral lists this ribosomal RNA (244 nucleotides) under uncultured bacterium. RNAcentral's name for it is "partial 16S ribosomal RNA". It matches the Rfam family "Bacterial small subunit ribosomal RNA", at positions 32 to 259 of the family's 1533-position model. The record is from RNAcentral.
AAUCAACGCUGGCGGCGUGCCUCAGACAUGCAAGUCGAACGAGAACCUCCCUUCGGGGAGGAGACAGUGGCGCACGGGUGAGUAACACGUGGGUAAUUUACCUUUGGGUGGGGAACAACAGCCGGAAACGGCUGCUAAUACCGCAUAAUGCAGCGGCUCGACAUCGAGACAGUUGUUAAAGCGGGGAUCGCAAGACCUCGCGCCUGAAGAGAAGCCUGCGGCGGAUUAGCUAGUUGGUAGGGGU